UCUGGACUACCAGGAUUUGCUGGCCCACCUGGCCCUCCUGGCCCGCCGGGUGUGCCCGGCGUUCUUCCUGAUGGCAACGGAGACCUUCAGUGCCCAGCCCUCUGCCCGCCUGGCCCUCCAGGGCCACCAGGAGUUCCAGGAUUCAAGGGUCAUACUGGUUACAAAGGCGAGCCUGGAGAACUAGGCAAAGAUGGAGAGAAGGGUUCACCAGGCCCUCCAGGCCCUGCGGGACCUCCAGGAAGUGUUGGCUUGCAGG
Long non-coding RNA from Euleptes europaea (tarantolino), 256 nucleotides. RefSeq lists it as uncharacterized. NCBI's taxonomy places the organism in Eukaryota, Metazoa, Chordata, Lepidosauria, Squamata, Sphaerodactylidae. The record is from RefSeq and is a predicted model, not a curated record. The transcript has 5 exons.